GAUUAGAGUUUGAUCAUGGCUCAGGACGAACGCUGGCGGCGUGCCUAACACAUGCAAGUCGAGCGAAGUGAUUUAGAGUGAAAUUUUCGGAUGGAACAAAGAAUCAUCUUAGCGGCGAACGGGUGAGUAACGCGUGAGAAACCUGCCUCUCACAAAGGGAUAGCCUCGGGAAACUGGGAUUAAUACCUUAUGAUACUCUUAGAUCGCAUGAUCUGAAAGUUAAAGUGUAAAGCGGUGAAAGAUGGUCUCGCGUCCUAUUAGCUAGUUGGUGAGGUAACGGCUCACCAAGGCUGCGAUAGGUAGCCGGCCUGAGAGGGUGAACGGCCACACUGGAACUGAGACACGGUCCAGACUCCUACGGGAGGCAGCAGUGGGGAAUAUUGCACAAUGGAGGAAACUCUGAUGCAGCGACGCCGCGUGAAUGAUGAAGGCCUUCGGGUCGUAAAGUUCUGUCCUUGGGGAAGAUAAUGACGGUACCCAAGGAGGAAGCCCCGGCUAACUACGUGCCAGCAGCCGCGGUAAUACGUAGGGGGCGAGCGUUGUCCGGAAUUAUUGGGCGUAAAGGGUUCGCAGGCGGUCUGAUAAGUCAGAUGUGAAAGGCUAUGGCUUAACCAUAGUAAGCAUUUGAAACUGUCAGACUUGAGUUAAGGAGAGGAAAGUGGAAUUCCUAGUGUAGCGGUGAAAUGCGUAGAUAUUAGGAGGAAUACCAGUGGCGAAGGCGACUUUCUGGACUUAAACUGACGCUGAGGAACGAAAGCGUGGGGAGCAAACAGGAUUAGAUACCCUGGUAGUCCACGCCGUAAACGAUGAGUGCUAGGUGUUGGGGGUCAAACCUCGGUGCCGCAGCUAACGCAUUAAGCACUCCGCCUGGGGAGUACGUACGCAAGUAUGAAACUCAAAGGAAUUGACGGGGACCCGCACAAGCGGCGGAACAUGGUGGUUUAAUUCGAAACAACGCGAAGAACCUUACCAGGGCUUGAACAUGCCACUGACCAUCAUAAAGAUAUGAUUUACCUUCAGGUACAGUGGACAACAGGUGGGUGCAUGGUGUCCUCACCUCGGGUCGGGAAUGUUGGGUAAGUCCCGCAAACGAGGGAACCCUGUUUCUAGUUGCAAACAUUAAUUCGGCACUCUAAAAAGAAUGUGCGAGGUCAAUCGCAGGCAGGUGGGCAGUGAUCAAUCUAUUUGCCCAUAUAGUCUGGG
Molecule: ribosomal RNA, 1203 nt
Filed under: uncultured bacterium
Lineage: Bacteria
Description: bacterial SSU rRNA
Rfam family: Bacterial small subunit ribosomal RNA
Source: RNAcentral